GUAGUACUCCCUCUGUUCGAAAUUACUUGUCACAAAAAUGGAUGUAUCUACAACUAAAAUACAUCUAGAUACAUUCAUUUCUUGGACGAGUAAUUUUGAACAGAGGGAGUAUGUA
Triticum urartu is the source of this 115-nucleotide non-coding RNA. Lineage: Eukaryota; Viridiplantae; Streptophyta; Magnoliopsida; Poales; Poaceae. The record is from Rfam.